UGGGGAAUAUUGGGCAAUGGACGCAAGUCUGACCCAGCAACGCCGCGUGAAGGAAGAAGGCUUUCGGGUUGUAAACUUCUUUUGUCAGGGAAGAGCAGAAGACGGUACCUGACGAAUAAGCCACGGCUAACUACGUGCCAGCAGCCGCGGUAAUACGUAGGUGGCAAGCGUUGUCCGGAUUUACUGGGUGUAAAGGGCGUGUAGCCGGGCCGACAAGUCAGAUGUGAAAUCCGCGGGCUUAACCCGCGAACUGCAUUUGAAACUGUUGGUCUUGAGGUAUCGGAGAGGUAAUCGGAAUUCCUAGUGUAGCGGUGAAAUGCGUAGAUAUUAGGAAGAACACCAGUGGCGAAGGCGGAUUACUGGACGACAACUGACGGUG
This 379-nucleotide ribosomal RNA is filed under the name uncultured Oscillibacter sp. Its description in RNAcentral is "bacterial SSU rRNA". It matches the Rfam family "Bacterial small subunit ribosomal RNA", at positions 355 to 748 of the family's 1533-position model. Lineage: Bacteria; Bacillati; Bacillota; Clostridia; Eubacteriales; Oscillospiraceae. The record is from RNAcentral.